UGUCUGGUGGGUAGUUUGACUGGGGCGGUCUCCUCCUAAAGAGUAACGGAGGAGCACGAAGGUUGGCUAAUCCUGGUCGGACAUCAGGAGGUUAGUGCAAUGGCAUAAGCCAGCUUGACUGCGAGCGUGACGGCGCGAGCAGGUGCGAAAGCAGGUCAUAGUGAUCCGGUGGUUCUGAAUGGAAGGGCCAUCGCUCAACGGAUAAAAGGUACUCCGGGGAUAACAGGCUGAUACCGCCCAAGAGUUCAUAUCGACGGCGGUGUUUGGCACCUCGAUGUCGGCUCAUCACAUCCUGGGGCUGAAGUAGGUCCCAAGGGUAUGGCUGUUCGCCAUUUAAAGUGGUACGCGAGCUGGGUUUAGAACGUCGUGAGACAGUUCGGUCCCUAUCUGCCGUGGGCGCUGGAGAAUUGAGGGGGGCUGCUCCUAGUACGAGAGGACCGGAGUGGACGCAUCACUGGUGUUCGGGUUGUCAUGCCAAUGGCACUGCCCGGUAGCUAAAUGCGGAAGAGAUAAGUGCUGAAAGCAUCUAAGCACGAAACUUGCCCCGAGAUGAGUUCUCCCUGACUCCUUGAGAGUCCUGAAGGAACGUUGAAGACGACGACGUUGAUAGGCCGGGUGUGUAAGCGCAGCGAUGCGUUGAGCUAACCGGUACUAAUGAACCGUGAGGCUUAACCUUACAACGCCGAAG
This 688-nucleotide ribosomal RNA is filed under the name Escherichia coli. RNAcentral's name for it is "partial 23S ribosomal RNA". It matches the Rfam family "Bacterial large subunit ribosomal RNA", at positions 2255 to 2925 of the family's 2925-position model. Lineage: Bacteria; Pseudomonadati; Pseudomonadota; Gammaproteobacteria; Enterobacterales; Enterobacteriaceae. The record is from RNAcentral.